RNAcentral lists this ribosomal RNA (432 nucleotides) under uncultured bacterium. RNAcentral describes it as "partial 16S ribosomal RNA". It matches the Rfam family "Bacterial small subunit ribosomal RNA", at positions 29 to 507 of the family's 1533-position model. The record is from RNAcentral.
GCGAACGCUGGCGGCCUGCCUAACACAUGCAAGUCGAACGAGACCUUCGGGUCUAGUGGCGCACGGGUGCGUAACGCGUGGGAACCUGCCCUUAGGUUCGGAAUAACUCCCCGAAAGGGGUGCUAAUACCGGAUAAUGUCUUCGGACCAAAGAUUUAUCGCCUUUGGAUGGGCCCGCGUUGGAUUAGCUAGUUGGUAGGGUAAAAGCCUACCAAGGCGACGAUCCAUAGCUGGUCUGAGAGGAUGAUCAGCCACACUGGGACUGAGACACGGCCCAGACUCCUACGGGAGGCAGCAGUGGGGAAUAUUGGACAAUGGGCGAAAGCCUGAUCCAGCAAUGCCGCGUGAGUGAUGAAGGCCUUAGGGUUGUAAAGCUCUUUUACCCGGGAUGAUAAUGACAGUACCGGGAGAAUAAGCUCCGGCUAACUCCGUG